This 148-nucleotide non-coding RNA is filed under the name Nomascus leucogenys (northern white-cheeked gibbon). The record is from Rfam by way of RNAcentral. Lineage: Eukaryota; Metazoa; Chordata; Mammalia; Primates; Hylobatidae.
GCUGGGUGUGGUGGAGUGCACCUGUAAUCUCAGCCACUCAUGAGGCUGGGGUGGGAGGAUUGCUUGAGCCCAGGAGGUCAGGACCACAGUGAGCCAUACUUGUGCCACUGCACUCCAGCCUGGGCAAUGAAGUGAGAUCCUGUCUCUA